ACAUGCGCAAAUACUAUAUCGUUCCCUCUCUUUAUGGGAGGGUGGUGAUAUAGUAGUGUUUAUUAGAUACAGAACCAACACAUCAUUAUUAUCAUUCUAUGAUGAUAGUGAUGUAAAAUAAGGUGAUUCAUAGUAACCGAACGGAUCGCAUUAUAAUUAUCAUUAUUUGAUGAUUGGCGAUAGAUCAUUCAAGUUUCUGACCUAUCAGCUUUCGACGGUAGUGUAUUGGACUACCGUGGCAGUGACGGGUAACGGGGAAUUAGGGUUCGAUUCCGGAGAGGGAGCCUGAGAAACGGCUACCACAUCUAAGGAAGGCAGCAGGCGCGCAAAUUACCCAAUCCUGACUCAGGGAGGUAGUGACAAGAAAUAACAACACUGGAAAUUUGAUUUCUAGUGAUUGGAAUGAUGGGAAUCCAAACCCCUUUCAGAGUAACAAUUGGAGGGCAAGUCUGGUGCCAGCAGCCGCGGUAAUUCCAGCUCCAAUAGCGUAUAUUAAAGUUGUUGCAGUUAAAAAGCUCGUAGUUGGAUGUCUGUUGGAAGCAAUCAUCAGUCCGCCCUAUUUGAUUAGGGUGUGAAUAUGAUGAAUUCCGUCCGGCAUAAUUGUCUCCCUAUUAUCAAUAUAUAAGAUGAUCAUUAUUAGAUUCAUUUCUAAUAAUGCGUCUACUAUAUUAUUGGUAGUAUGGGAGAAAUGUUACUUUGAGAAAAUUAGAGUGUUUGAAGCAGGCUUUUGUUGCCUUGAAUACUGCAGCAUGGAAUAACAAUAUAGGAUUUCGGUUCUAUUUUGUUGGUUUUUUUUAGGACUGAAAUAAUGAUUAAUAGGGACAGUUGGGGGCAUUCGUAUUUAACUGUCAGAGGUGAAAUUCUUAGAUUUGUUA
Molecule: ribosomal RNA, 875 nt
Filed under: Sarcocystis suihominis
Lineage: Eukaryota; Apicomplexa; Conoidasida; Eucoccidiorida; Sarcocystidae
Description: bacterial SSU rRNA
Rfam family: Eukaryotic small subunit ribosomal RNA
Source: RNAcentral